CAGCCACACUGGGACUGAGACACGGCCCAGACUCCUACGGGAGGCAGCAGUAGGGAAUCUUGCGCAAUGGGGGAAACCCUGACGCAGCGACGCCGCGUGCGGGAUGAAGGCCUUCGGGUCGUAAACCGCUUUCAGCAGGGACGAAAUUGACGGUACCUGCAGAAGAAGGCCCGGCCAACUACGUGCCAGCAGCCGCGGUGAUACGUAGGGGUCUAGCGUUGUCCGGAAUUAUUGGGCGUAAAGAGCUCGUAGGCGGUUCGGCAAGUCGGAUGUGAAAUCUCCACGCUUAACGUGGAGGGGCCAUUCGAAACUGCCGUGACUCGAGUCCGGUAGGGGAGUUCGGAAUUCCCGGUGUAGCGGUGAAAUGCGCAGAUAUCAGGAGGAACACCAGUGGCGAAGGCGGUACUCUGGGCCACUACUGACGCUGAGAAGCGAAAGCAUGGGGAGCGAACAGGAUUAGAUACCCCGGUAGUCCACGCCG
RNAcentral lists this ribosomal RNA (481 nucleotides) under uncultured Actinomycetes bacterium. Its description in RNAcentral is "bacterial SSU rRNA". It matches the Rfam family "Bacterial small subunit ribosomal RNA", at positions 305 to 802 of the family's 1533-position model. The record is from RNAcentral. Lineage: Bacteria; Bacillati; Actinomycetota; Actinomycetes.